GAAGAUGACGAGUGGCGGACGGGUGAGUAAUGCUUGGGAACUUGCCUUUGCGAGGGGGAUAACAGUUGGAAACGACUGCUAAUACCGCAUAAUGUCUUCGGACCAAACGGGGCUUCGGCUCCGGCGCAAAGAGAGGCCCAAGUGAGAUUAGCUAGUUGGUAAGGUAACGGCUUACCAAGGCGACGAUCUCUAGCUGUUCUGAGAGGAAGAUCAGCCACACUGGGACUGAGACACGGCCCAGACUCCUACGGGAGGCAGCAGUGGGGAAUAUUGCACAAUGGGGGAAACCCUGAUGCAGCCAUGCCGCGUGUGUGAAGAAGGCCUUCGGGUUGUAAAGCACUUUCAGUUGUGAGGAAAAGUUAGUAGUUAAUACCUGCUAGCCGUGACGUUAACAACAGAAGAAGCACCGGCUAACUCCGUGCCAGCAGCCGCGGUAAUACGGAGGGUGCGAGCGUUAAUCGGAAUUACUGGGCGUAAAGCGCACGCAGGCGGUUUGUUAAGCUAGAUGUGAAAGCCCCGGGCUCAACCUGGGAUGGUCAUUUAGAACUGGCAGACUAGAGUCUUGGAGAGGGGAGUGGAAUUCCAGGUGUAGCGGUGAA
RNAcentral lists this ribosomal RNA (599 nucleotides) under Alteromonas macleodii. RNAcentral describes it as "bacterial SSU rRNA". It matches the Rfam family "Bacterial small subunit ribosomal RNA", at positions 84 to 685 of the family's 1533-position model. The record is from RNAcentral. Lineage: Bacteria; Pseudomonadati; Pseudomonadota; Gammaproteobacteria; Alteromonadales; Alteromonadaceae.